RNAcentral lists this ribosomal RNA (274 nucleotides) under uncultured bacterium. RNAcentral's name for it is "partial 16S ribosomal RNA". It matches the Rfam family "Bacterial small subunit ribosomal RNA", at positions 523 to 796 of the family's 1533-position model. The record is from RNAcentral.
AUACGGAGGGUGCAAGCGUUAUUCGGAAUCACUGGGCGUAACGGACGCGUAGGCGGGUUGGCAAGUCAGAUGUGAAAUCCUACAGCUUAACUGUAGAACUGCAUUUGAAACUGCUAACCUAGAGUAUGGGAGGGGGAGAUGGAAUUAGUGGUGUAGGGGUAAAAUCCGUAGAUAUCACUAGGAAUACCGAAAGCGAAGGCGAUCUCCUGGAACAUAACUGACGCUAAGGCGUGAAAGCGUGGGGAGCAAACAGGAUUAGAAACCCUAGUAGUCC